UUGUUUUCAAAUCCAACUACCAAAUAUGAACAAUAUACUCUACUUCUUCUUUCGUUCAACUUUAGUUCUCUCAUUCUUUGGCGGUGGACCCUUCCUCCUUGCAAGCCUGCCGAUAACCUCACUCUCACUGAUUGAACAUCAUUUAGCUUCUUUGUGGCGUAGUCCCACAACAGAGCUCCAUAGCGUCUACGGUGUUUGUCAAUAUCAGUAAGAUCUUCCUUUGGUGUAGACAAAU
This 235-nucleotide long non-coding RNA is filed under the name Nicotiana benthamiana. RNAcentral describes it as "long non-coding RNA (NBEN_LNC034156)". The record is from RNAcentral. Lineage: Eukaryota; Viridiplantae; Streptophyta; Magnoliopsida; Solanales; Solanaceae.